RNAcentral lists this ribosomal RNA (1692 nucleotides) under Pomoxis nigromaculatus (black crappie). Its description in RNAcentral is "partial 16S ribosomal RNA". The stretch from base 96 to 1612 matches the Rfam family "Bacterial large subunit ribosomal RNA". Lineage: Eukaryota; Metazoa; Chordata; Actinopteri; Centrarchiformes; Centrarchidae. The record is from RNAcentral.
GCCCAAUAGCUAGCCCCCGAACCAUAAACAACAAAUUACCAUAAAUAACCCCAAACACACUAGUGUUAUAUUAAAUAAAUCAUUCUUCCCCCUUAGUACGGGCGACAGAAAAGGGACUACGGCGCAAUAGAAAAAGUACCGCAAGGGAACGCUGAAAGAGAAAUGAAAGAACCCAGUAAAGCCUUAAAAAGCAGAGAUUUUUACUUGUACCUUUUGCAUCAUGAUUUAGCUAGAAAUGCCCAGGCAAAGAGAACUUUAGUCUGGUUUCCCGAAACUAAGUGAGCUACUCCAAGACAGCCUAUUAAUAGGGCACACCCGUCUCUGUGGCAAAAGAGUGGGAGGAGCUUUGAGUAGAGGUGACAGACCUACCGAACUUAGUUAUAGCUGGUUGCCUGAGAAUUGGAUAGGAGUUCAGCCUCCCGGCUUCUUUUCUCACCCUUGUCCUAACACCCUAUAGACACCCAAAGAAUACCGCGAGAGUUAGUCAAAGGGGGUACAGCCCCUUUGAAAUAAGACACAACUUUUCCAGGAGGGUAAAGAUCAUAAUAAACUAAAGUAAAAUGUUCUGGUGGGCCUAAAAGCAGCCACCCCCCUAGAAAGCGUUAAAGCUCAGACAUACCACUUACCUUCUUAUUCUGAUAACUUAUCUUAACCCCCUAACCUUAUCAGGCCGCCCCAUGCUUUCAUGGGGGUGACCAUGCUAAUAUGAGUAAUAAGAGAGCCUCGACUCUCUCCCCGCACACGUGUAAAUCGGAACGGACAAGCCACCGAACCUUAACGGCCCCAAACAAAGAGGGUAAUGAACAAUAGACUAAACAACUAGAAAAACAUUCAAACUUUAACCGUUAACCCCACACUGGAGUGCCCCCCGGGAAAGACUAAAAGAAAAAGAAGGAACUCGGCAAACACAUAAAGCCUCGCCUGUUUACCAAAAACAUCGCCUCUUGCUGAAAUUAAAGAAUAAGAGGUCCCGCCUGCCCUGUGACUAUAAGUUUAACGGCCGCGGUAUUUUGACCGUGCGAAGGUAGCGCAAUCACUUGUCUUUUAAAUGAAGACCUGUAUGAAUGGCAUAACGAGGGCUUAGCUGUCUCCUUUUUCCGGUCAAUGAAAUUGAUCUCCCCGUGCAGAAGCGGGGAUGAGACCAUAAGACGAGAAGACCCUAUGGAGCUUUAGACACCAAGGUAAGCCAUGUUAAAUACCCCAAAAUAAAGGGCUAAACCAAAUGAAAUUUACCCCCAUGUCUUUGGUUGGGGCGACCGCGGGGAAAUACAAAACCCCCACGUGGAAUGAGAAUACUCUUUCCUACAACUAAGAGCCCCCGCUCUAGUUAACAGAAUUUCUGACCAGCAAGAUCCGGCAACGCCGAUCAACGGACCGAGUUACCCUAGGGAUAACAGCGCAAUCCCCUUUUAGAGCCCAUAUCGACAAGGGGGAUUACGACCUCGAUGUUGGAUCAGGACAUCCUAAUGGUGCAGCCGCUAUUAAGGGUUCGUUUGUUCAACGAUUAAAGUCCUACGUGAUCUGAGUUCAGACCGGAGUAAUCCAGGUCAGUUUCUAUCUAUGCUAUGAUCUUUUCUAGUACGAAAGGACCGAAAAGGAGAGGCCCAUGCUUCAAGUAUGCCUCACCCCCCCCUAAUGAAACAACUAAAAUAGGCAAAAGGGCAUGUCCCCUUUUUGCCUAAAACUACGGCA